AUAUGUGACCAAAUGUUUAACUCUUAUCACCAAUGGCGACCAUGAUUCGUGCCUGUUGGUCACCAACUCGUCAGUCAUAUUUCAUGAAAGAUCGCGCUCCAGUUUUCUUCUACAUGCAGCGAGCAAUGUGUCUCUAUGCACAUAGUUCUUUCUCCAUCUUACUUAAUGUACACAGCGUGAGCCCAGGUUAACUACAACAUACCUUACAUGCAGGUACCCAUACACGCACAUACAUGUACAGGUACUACAUGUACCUGUAGGUACCUGAGUCGACUGGUUUGUGGUCACACGCUGUAUAGAGUGUGUAUGGGGAGCUGACACGUUUCACAUGUUCUUAAUGCAUUUGCAGUCUAUGCAUGCCACAAUUCCAGCCCAACAAACUUGUUUCAGUCCGAAAUGUAUUUGAACUUCAAAACCAAAGCUUCCCUUGGUCCAGUCCAGUCCCAGGCUGCCAUAGCCAUGCUAGCUUCCAACCCUUCAGAGGAUGCAGACAAUCUAGAAUUUUUUGGUCAGUGUCCGUGGAGGCUGGGUCACCAGAGCAUUGACCCACCGGAUCCUCAGAUGGAGAGAGAAGGCUUUCUUGCCCUGCCGUAAUCUGGAGUCACAGGUGGAUCACUUGGCAGCAAGAUAUUGAAAGUUUGGAUGUGUGUAAAAUCAAUUUGCCAGAACCUGAGCCAGGCUGUUCACCAGAUGCCAUGGAGCAAACACGCCAAUGCUGGAAGACAAUGUCUAGUUGCAGAGCACCCCUAAGGCGUUCCGAGUGAAAAACCUGGUGCCCCUUGUCGAACGCAAGUCUCGUUUUACUAGCCUUUGUUUCGCUGCUGAUUAGCCAGUCAUUUUUCUGAGGUACAUCUUAAUAUUUUGAAUACAACUCUUAAAGCUGUGAAACUAACCCAUUAACUUAUUUCUGACCCCAUAGGUUAUAUGCCAAACUAUAUUAAAAUCAGAAAUUCAAAACCCAGAUACUGGGGUACCUGCCGGUCAAUAUCAAAACCUGGUUCCAUUUUUUUCAGCCUGGGUACCUGUUGAAAAAUGAUAGAAAUCUUUGUAUAGAAUGUAUGUGAACUUUCAUUGUGAAGGGCAGAAUUGCUGAAAAAUCACCAUACCACUGAAAAACCCUGUCCCGCUGUCAUAACUGUGGUUCAGAGAUCACACACCCCACUCAUUGUAAAGCAAACAAAUUUCAUAUUCUGAGGUGGCCUCAUCGUCGAUGUACAUAAAAAGAGCCCUGUUUCGGGCACAUGGUCUGCCGAGAUUGCAUGCAAUGGCAUUUGUUUUUUUGGGUUUUUUUUUCAUAUUUAAGGGCACCCAGUGUUCUCAUCAAACGGGUACCAAGUUCCCAAAAUACCUUUGUCAUACCCCUGUUGUCAUGUACAAGUAGGUGGUAUUGAAAAAAUGGACAUUUGGAGAGUGGUGACCUUGUGGAUGAACAUUAUUUGCAUCGACCAUAACCAGUUAACACCCAUUGUGGUUUUUAUCCAACAAAGACCCACAUCAAGUCUGCCAAAUUCCAUCACACCAUGGUUGCUGGUCUCACUUUGCUUACUGUUCAGAGCAAAAAGCUACACUCUUGUCAAAACUGGUCUUCCACAGUAUGUACAUGUACAUAGCAGUUUAGUUUUAACACCGUCAUCAUUUUUCUAUCUGCUUUGUGCCCAGGCCCUCUUGCCAGUUCUCCAUUCAAUUCUCCAAACUGGCCAUGUAGUUGAGUAACCAGGCUUACAAUGCCUAAUGCAUCAUCACUGAUGGACAACCUCUGACCCAUGUCGAGGGCUUGGCCCCAGCAAUUGAUUCAGAGUCCCACGGCAAUGUUUAUCCCAUGCUAGGCAAAGUUAAAAUGCAUGUUCAAGCUUGCUGUCGAAUGCUGGAGGUAAUGUAAGAUUUAAAAGAAUAUAGUAUAUGUAGAACCUAAUUUCAAAGUUAAGGUUCUGAUUUCAUGUUCAGAUUAACACAUGGGAAAAAUACCAAAAGUACAUGUAUGUCAUGGAUUAAAUGUUGUAAAUCAUGAAUGAGACUUAAAGAUUUGUUUUUGUAGAGAGUCUACCGCAGCUGGCACAUUUUGCCAAAGAAUCUUGUAUAUUGCCACCAUUUUCACAAAGUUGACAUGUUAAUUACUACAAGCUACACUUUUUGAGAUAAUUGUAAGAGAAGUUUCUCUCAUUUGAAAACUGUAAAAAGUAAUGCUUUUUAACAACUGUCUGUAGUCAAAAAUGAUUUUGCAUAUUUUAGGGGCAUUUUGCAUAUAUACGGAUUGACACAAGAGGAUGACUUGGGACAAAGUUGUACUGUAGUUGAUGCAGUUUAUUCGGCUUGCUCGAUGUGUGGCUCUCUGCCUGAUUGCUAGGGAUUUUAUACAUUUGCUGGACAUUCCAUUUUUCAUCCAUCAUACAAGUUUCCUUGCCUUAUUAGGUAUUGGCUACU
Molecule: long non-coding RNA, 2421 nt
Organism: Acanthaster planci (crown-of-thorns starfish)
Lineage: Eukaryota; Metazoa; Echinodermata; Asteroidea; Valvatida; Acanthasteridae
Source: RefSeq, a predicted model, not a curated record